UGGAGGAAAGCAGGGGAUCGUAAGACCUUGCGCUUUCGGAGCGGCCGAUGUCUGAUUAGCUAGUUGGUGGGGUAAUGGCCUACCAAAGCUUCGAUCAGUAGCUGGUCUGAGAGGACGGCCAGCCACACUGGGACUGAGACACGGCCCAGACUCCUACGGGAGGCAGCAGUGGGGAAUUUUGGACAAUGGGCGCAAGCCUGAUCCAGCCAUGCCGCGUGAGUGAAGAAGGCCUUCGGGUUGUAAAGCUCUUUCAGCCGGGAAGAAAAGGCUGCGAUUAAUAAUCGCAGUUCAUGACGGUACCGGAAGAAGAAGCACCGGCUAACUACGUGCCAGCAGCCGCGGUAAUACGUAGGGUGCGAGCGUUAAUCGGAAUUACUGGGCGUAAAGGGUGCGCAGGCGGUUUUGUAAGUCAGAUGUGA
RNAcentral lists this ribosomal RNA (419 nucleotides) under uncultured ammonia-oxidizing beta proteobacterium. RNAcentral describes it as "bacterial SSU rRNA". It matches the Rfam family "Bacterial small subunit ribosomal RNA", at positions 197 to 597 of the family's 1533-position model. Lineage: Bacteria; Pseudomonadati; Pseudomonadota; Betaproteobacteria. The record is from RNAcentral.